Non-coding RNA from Rhopilema esculentum, 2430 nucleotides. The record is from RefSeq and is a predicted model, not a curated record. NCBI's taxonomy places the organism in Eukaryota, Metazoa, Cnidaria, Scyphozoa, Rhizostomeae, Rhizostomatidae.
AGAAAGUUGAUUUUUAAGGAUACAAAAUUUCAUCAAAAUUUACAAUUUUGGCAAGGCUAUAGCCUUACUUUUCGACUGGUUUUUUGGGUGUUCUAAAAACACCUCUCUUUCGUCCAAUUAUCUAUCAAAGAUGCCAAAACCCUGAUUUGAUGGCCUUUUCCUCACUUGUUUCAAUCUCUUACUUUUUACGUAAUAGUAUAUGGUUUUUAGGUCAUUAGCUGUCAUAUGAUUUGAUCAUUUGGAAGUGUUUUUUGACUGGUAAGACCACAAUCUUCCUGAAGAAAUUAUAGUAUGACGUUAGUACUAUAUACCACAAUGGGCUUGACAAUAGAAAAAGAAUUUGUAAUGGGAUACAGUAGGAUCAACUUUGUCAUCAAAAUUGACAAGUUUAGUUUAUGUCGUUUAACUGCUUUGCAAAAGGUUUCUCUGAAAAAACUCUACCUGUAUGAGGACAUGAAUGGGGACUUAACGUGUCCCUUCUCUCCACUAGCUUAUGGGUCCAGCCUGACCCGACUGGUGCCACCUGGCAGGGUUCCCUAGCUCAGGGCAACUCGGGGGGAGACCGGCAACGGGGGGCGGAUGAGCUACGACUCCAGUGGUCAACGGCUUCGGGCAGAAGAACUCCUGGAAAGAGGGUUGAUGUCCCUUUAAAAACACCGUAUAGGUGGCUCUGGGGGCCCAUUUCUACUAUUAGCCCCUUAGUUUUAUCUAUGACCAUGACAACAAACCAAAACUCAGAUUUUGGGAUGGUUGGAGGGUCAUGGUAGCCAACCUUCUGAUAGAAGAUGGUACCUUAUGAUGAGGUGUCCAAUUUACCACAGCUUUACCUGAAUCGAAUCGCACCCUUUUAAAAAACCAACUGUAGCCUUAUCAAGUUGUUCUUUUAAAAGCAUUAAAGAUAUUUGUGAAAUAUGUUAUUGAUGAAUUUUUUAGGAAAAGAGAAAACUAGUAGCACAAAAGUCUUUCUGAUGUUAUAGUACCAGCCUACUUCUUAAAAGGUCUGCUUUUUGUAAUAAUGACAACAACAGCUGAUAACGAUGCAGAUCAUUACGUAAAGAACCAAGUUAGUCAGCUGUUUUACGAGCAAAGUGGGAAAUAACUUGUUUCGUAGAAACAGCAAACAGAAAAGCAACUGCAAACAUCACAAGAGUUUAUUUACGUAGUUUUUCACUUAGUCGUUAUCCCUAAUGCAGCUGGGGAAACAAGGGAACUCUUUGCUAAUGUGAUUUUACAAAAACAAAAACUUUAAGCUGAAAACAUGUUCUGAAAGGAGAUCUUGGUGGUGAAAACAAAGCUAUGCUUCAGGGAGAUCUUUCUCUCGAAACCCUUGCAACAUCAAGUCCCCAACACGACAUUGCUAUAUCCAUCUCAUUUCUGUUUAUUUGCAAUGGUGGCGAAAAAGUUAUAAAUUUCUAAAUAGGUGCAAGGCGAACAAGUAGGAAAACGAAAAGGCCAACAAGAAAAUGGACGUUUUCUGGAAAACGCUCUCCAAUUGGGCUAAGAAAUUAUGAAGUGCCCUUCCAACUUAUUUCUGACCACUAAAGAAAUGGACAGAAAUACAGAAAAAAAUACAUUAACAUCAAAAUAUUUUGCAUAAAAUCAAUAAAAUAUAUAUUCCUUAAAUGGGUAUUAAUACAACUAAACUAGUAGCAAUGUCUAAUAGAUGGGGAUGAAAACUACCUUGGGCAACUACAAUUGUUUAUUGUCUUAAAAAAUUGUAAUAGUCAGUAACCUUAUUAAUUUGUUCAUAAACCCCCGUCUCAGCAUCAGUAAAAUAUGGUCUUUGUAAGAAAAGGAAAGGUUAUACCAGAGUGUGACAUAGAUGAAAUUGUAUCGUUGAAAUUGACUCCCAAAGCUCUUUACAUAAAGGUGACUUUUGAUUUCAUCAUAUAACUUUUCACAUAUCUAUUAACCCGGAAACAUGGGACAGGAUUGCUAACCCCCCUGGAAAGCCAAAAAGACUUGCUAGCCAAUCCCCGUGUUUGGCUUAAAAACUUAGACGCAGGAAAAUUUUGUUUCGUGUAUGGGAAGUCCAAGUUCGGAAACAGUAAAAGAAGAGAUACAGACGAAGCAACAGCAGUACAACAGCAAGGAAAUCUUUCAUCGACAUGAAGUACCUUAUCGGUGUGUUACUUAUAGGCACAUUGGCUUCCUUGUGUUUUGCUUCACCUAAAGAGACAGUUGGUCACAAAUGUGACACUGGUUGUCCGUUUAUAUACCGACAGGUUUGUGGCAGUGAUGGAGUGACAUACGACAAUCUUUGCCUGUUAAAAAUUGCAGCAUGCAAAGCGAAUGAGAACAUUUAUGCAGUGAAGGAAGAACCAUGCUGACCUGGCAUACCCCAUCCUUUUUUACCAAAAGACUUUAAAGCUGAUAGCAUUGCUUUACGAAAUAUGAAUAGUUUAUGAAAGCUGAAGUUAAAUAAUUCUA